AUGGGUGAUUCUGCUCUUUUCUGGACUAAUUCCUGGCACAUUGGGGGCUCUGCUAGACCCCUCUGUUGGAGAUUGCCAAGGUUGUUUUCUUUUGUCAAUAAUGACAGGAUCUCUGUGAGGGAAUUUCUCCAAUCCCAGGAUCUUUUCUCCAUGUUUUAUUUGCCUCUUUCUCGGGAAGCUGCUGCUGAGUUGCACAUACUGGAAAGUUGGAUCAUGCAGUUAGACAGAGACCCCACCUUACCUGAUGUUUGGAUAUGGCCUGGUCAAUCAGGAGGGUAUACUGCGAAAAGUUUUUACAGGAUCAUGCACUCCCACUUGCCUACAAUACAACCCUGCAAAUGGCUUUGGUAG
This 351-nucleotide ribosomal RNA is filed under the name Triticum aestivum (bread wheat). RNAcentral's name for it is "partial small subunit ribosomal RNA". Lineage: Eukaryota; Viridiplantae; Streptophyta; Magnoliopsida; Poales; Poaceae. The record is from RNAcentral.